Molecule: long non-coding RNA, 720 nt
Filed under: Trifolium pratense (red clover)
Lineage: Eukaryota; Viridiplantae; Streptophyta; Magnoliopsida; Fabales; Fabaceae
Description: long non-coding RNA (TPRA_LNC005890)
Source: RNAcentral
CUUUUUAAGGUUCACUUGUAGAAAACAAAAGUUUUUGUUUUUUGUGUUUUAAUAACUAUGAUAUAAGGAUUACCGUUCAUUGAAAGUUGAAAUUUGAGUUUUUCAAUUUUUAGAAUGCUAUGUUUCAUUUAACUUCUCCUUAAAUAUGGUUAAAAAGACUUUAAGUGUGUUUUAAUUGAGAAGCUCCUGUUUGAACUAAGAAUCUCCUAUAAAUCAAAAGCUUAUCAGAAGCUCCUGGUGCGCAAAGCCAAAUAUGCGAAUGAAAUUAGUUUUCUAUGUUAAAUUUCAACUGUUAUUGUAAAUAAAAAGAUUUUUACUUGGCAAUUGUAUGUAUGACUUACUUGAACAAAAUGUGUUUGUGCAGAAUAGCUGAAUCUUUUCAGAAGAUGAAGAUAAAAGCAUUGUCAUAGAGACGCGUAAAUUUUCACAAGAUGGCUGGCAUCUCAAAUAACUGAAGAUGAAACAUGAUUUGAUUGACGACAGUUUCUCAACACCUAACGUCGCAAUUAGUAACGAAAUUUGUAAUGAUUCACUAGAUGAUUUGGUUCUAGUUUACCACUGAUUAACAAUAGUUAGAAUCUAAGUACAUAUAUUCAAUUCCCUGCUAAGCUUUUACCACUGUUUUUUUGCAUGCCUUCAUACUUUGAUGAGCAUGUGUUUGUUUUAGAAGCAAUUCAAAAUCCUUUAGUUGUUUGUUGUAUUUUGCUUGUCACAAUGUGU